Molecule: ribosomal RNA, 301 nt
Filed under: uncultured bacterium
Lineage: Bacteria
Description: partial 16S ribosomal RNA
Rfam family: Bacterial small subunit ribosomal RNA
Source: RNAcentral
CAGCAGCCGCGGGAAUACGUAAGGGGCAAGCGUUGUCCGGAAUCACUGGGCGUAAAGCGCACGUAGGCGGUUUGUCAAGUUGGGGGUGUAAGCUCUGGGCCUAACCCAGAAAUUGCCUCCAAAACUAGCAUACUUGAGUAUUAGAGGGGAAGCUGGAAUUCACGGUGUAGCGGUGAAAUGCGUAGAUAUCGUGGAGAACACCCGUGGCGAAGGCGGGCUUCUGGCUAAUUACUGACGCUGAGGUGCGAAAGCUAGGGGAGCGAACGGGAUUAGAUACCCCCGUAGUCCCUGUCUCUUAUAC